RNAcentral lists this ribosomal RNA (740 nucleotides) under Aspergillus pseudofelis. Its description in RNAcentral is "LSU rRNA". It matches the Rfam family "Eukaryotic large subunit ribosomal RNA", at positions 130 to 885 of the family's 3401-position model. Lineage: Eukaryota; Fungi; Ascomycota; Eurotiomycetes; Eurotiales; Aspergillaceae. The record is from RNAcentral.
UUCGGGGUCCGCGUUGUAAUUUGCAGAGGAUGCUUCGGGUGCAGCCCCCGUCUAAGUGCCCUGGAACGGGCCGUCAUAGAGGGUGAGAAUCCCGUCUGGGACGGGGUGUCUGCGUCCGUGUGAAGCUCCUUCGAAGAGUCGAGUUGUUUGGGAAUGCAGCUCUAAAUGGGUGGUAAAUUUCAUCUAAAGCUAAAUACUGGCCGGAGACCGAUAGCGCACAAGUAGAGUGAUCGAAAGAUGAAAAGCACUUUGAAAAGAGAGUUAAACAGCACGUGAAAUUGUUGAAAGGGAAGCGUUUGCGACCAGACUCGCUCGCGGGGUUCAGCCGGCAUUCGUGCCGGUGUACUUCCCCGUGGGCGGGCCAGCGUCGGUUUGGGCGGCCGGUCAAAGGCCCUCGGAAUGUAUCACCUCUCGGGGUGUCUUAUAGCCGAGGGUGCAAUGCGGCCUGCCCGGACCGAGGAACGCGCUUCGGCUCGGACGCUGGCGUAAUGGUCGUAAAUGACCCGUCUUGAAACACGGACCAAGGAGUCUAACAUCUACGCGAGUGUUCGGGUGUCAAACCCGUACGCGCAGUGAAAGCGAACGGAGGUGGGAGCCCCCUCGUGGGGCGCACCAUCGACCGAUCCUGAUGUCUUCGGAUGGAUUUGAGUAUGAGCGUAGCUGUGGGGACCCGAAAGAUGGUGAACUAUGCCUGAAUAGGGCGAAGCCAGAGGAAACUCUGGUGGAGGCUCGCAGCGGUU